RNAcentral lists this ribosomal RNA (372 nucleotides) under uncultured prokaryote. RNAcentral describes it as "bacterial SSU rRNA". It matches the Rfam family "Bacterial small subunit ribosomal RNA", at positions 524 to 896 of the family's 1533-position model. The record is from RNAcentral.
UACGGAGAGUGCAAACGUUGUUCGGAAUUAUUGGGCGUAAAGGGCGCGUAGGCGGCUCGGUAAGUCAGAUGUGAAAGCCCGGGGCUCAACCCUGGAAGUGCGUUUGAAACUGCUGAGCUUGAGUGCAGGAGGGAGAGGUGGAAUUCCAGGUGUAGGAGUGAAAUCCGUAGAUAUCUGGAGGAACACCGGUGGCGAAGGCGACCUCUUGGCCUGAUACUGACGCUGAGGCGCGAAGGCGUGGGGAGCAAACAGGAUUAGAUACCCUGGUAGUCCACGCGGUAAACGAUGCUCACUGGGUGCUGGUGGCAGACGCUGGCAGUGCCGUAGCUAACGCGAUAAGUGAGCCGCCUGGGGAGUACGGUCGCAAGAUUA